Molecule: ribosomal RNA, 665 nt
Filed under: uncultured fungus
Lineage: Eukaryota; Fungi
Description: eukaryotic LSU rRNA
Rfam family: 5.8S ribosomal RNA (bases 251-405)
Source: RNAcentral
AAGUCGUAACAAGGUUUCCGUAGGUGAACCUGCGGAAAGGAUCAUUACCGAAUUGUCGACACGAGUUGUUGCUGGCCCUCAAACCGGGGGCAUGUGCACGCUCUGUUUGCAUCCACUCACACCUGUGCACCUCUUGUAGUUCUACGGUUGGGGGAGGCACCCCGCCUUUCCUCCUGGGGUUCUACUUUUUUACACACACACUGUAACAUGGUUUUAUGGAAUGCAUGCAGCGUUUAACGCAAUACAAUACAACUUUCAGCAACGGAUCUCUUGGCUCUCGCAUCGAUGAAGAACGCAGCGAAAUGCGAUAAGUAAUGUGAAUUGCAGAAUUCAGUGAAUCAUCGAAUCUUUGAACGCACCUUGCGCCUUUUGGCUAUUCCGAAGGGCAUGCCUGUUUGAGUAUCGUGAACACCUCAACCCUCAUGGCUUGCCAUGAUGGGCUUGGACUUUGGAGGUUUUGCUGGCCUGUGGUCAGCUCCUCUCAAAUGAAUCAGCUUACCAGCAUGUGGUGGCAUCACGGGUGUGAUAAUUAUCUGCGCCUGUUGUUGCCUGCCAGGUAACCCCCAACCUUGGAGGUUUGCUGGGGCUUAUAAACGUCUCUCCUCGGCAGAGACAGCUUUCUGAAGUUUGAUCUCAAAUCAGGUAGGACUACCCGCUGAACUUAA